UGGGGAAUAUUGCACAAUGGGCGCAAGCCUGAUGCAGCCAUGCCGCGUGUGUGAAGAAGGCCUUCGGGUUGUAAAGCACUUUCAGCGAGGAGGAAGGUGGUGAGCUUAAUACGCUCAUCAAUUGACGUUACUCGCAGAAGAAGCACCGGCUAACUCCGUGCCAGCAGCCGCGGUAAUACGGAGGGUGCAAGCGUUAAUCGGAAUUACUGGGCGUAAAGCGCACGCAGGCGGUUUGUUAAGUCAGAUGUGAAAUCCCCGGGCUCAACCUGGGAACUGCAUUUGAAACUGGCAAGCUAGAGUCUCGUAGAGGGGGGUAGAAUUCCAGGUGUAGCGGUGAAAUGCGUAGAGAUCUGGAGGAAUACCGGUGGCGAAGGCGGCCCCCUGGACGAAGACUGACGCUCAGGUGCGAAAGCGUGGGGCAGCAAACAGGAUUAGAUACCCUGGUAGUCCACGCUGUAAACGAUGUCGAUUUUGGAGGUUGUGCCCCUUGAGGCGUGGNUUCCGGAGCUAACGCGUUAAAUCGACCGCC
This 529-nucleotide ribosomal RNA is filed under the name uncultured bacterium. RNAcentral describes it as "partial 16S ribosomal RNA". It matches the Rfam family "Bacterial small subunit ribosomal RNA", at positions 355 to 873 of the family's 1533-position model. The record is from RNAcentral.